This 425-nucleotide ribosomal RNA is filed under the name Rupicapra pyrenaica ornata. RNAcentral describes it as "partial 12S ribosomal RNA". It matches the Rfam family "Bacterial small subunit ribosomal RNA", at positions 882 to 1486 of the family's 1533-position model. Lineage: Eukaryota; Metazoa; Chordata; Mammalia; Artiodactyla; Bovidae. The record is from RNAcentral.
ACCGGCAACAGCCCAAAACUCAAAGGACUUGGCGGUGCUUCACACCCUUCUAGAGGAGCCUGUUCUAUAAUCGAUAAACCCCGAUAAACCUCACCAAUCCUUGCUAAUACAGUCUAUAUACCGCCAUCUUCAGCAAACCCUAAAAAGGAACAAAAGUAAGCUCAAUCAUAGCACAUAAAGACGUUAGGUCAAGGUGUAACCUAUGGAGUGGGAAGAAAUGGGCUACAUUUUCUGUUUCAAGAAAAUUUAAUACGAAAGCUAUUAUGAAACUAAUAGCCAAAGGAGGAUUUAGCAGUAAACUAAGAAUAGAGUGCUUAGUUGAAUCAGGCCAUGAAGCACGCACACACCGCCCGUCACCCUCCUCAAGUAAAUACAGGACACUUAAAACCUAUUUAAAUGCACCAAUCACACAAGAGGAGACAAGU